AGGAUAAAAAACAUGCUCAAAAAAUCAAAUGUUAAACUUAUUCUUCAACAUGUGUCCAAAUUACCCCACAAAAGGUGUUCAUAUUACCCCACAAGGCAUGUCCAAAUUACCCCAUAGGGGUGUUCAUAUUACCCCCACACAAAAAUGUGGGGGUAAUUUGGACACCUUUUAAUUUUUGCGAUAAAAAUGGGUUUUUCAUCAAAAUUUAUCGAAAUGAAUGACAUUUUUCCAUCAAAUAUGGUCUCUAUUAUCCUCUGGUGUCAUCCACAUUCCUUUAAAAUAUCCAUACAGCCCGUAACAGAGCAAUUUCCUUAGGGUGUCCAAAUUACCCCACACUCCCCUAAUUAUAAACAAUAGACGAAUCCAGUUUGAAAUGGCCGCUAGGUGGCCAAUGGUGUUAGAAAUGACAGCUUCCAUGUAUUUGAAUAUGGGAGCUCAGGAAAACUCAAUUUUUAAGCAAUAAAAGGAUUAUUUAUGAUAAAAAUAUUGAUGGAUUAGGUGCACAAAAUGUGUCUAGAAUAUUAUUAAAAUAAAAACCGUUCGAAAAAUUUGCAAUCGAGAUAAGUACACCACUCGAUUCAGCAGGAAUUUUGGGCACCAAAAAUAUAUAGUUUUCAUAUGUUAAGUAAUAUAUUUUAAAAGAAAAUUAACAAUAAGUAUGAAAAUCGAGACAUUUAGUAUGGGAGCUGUCAAAUCUCUCACCAUCAAAAAGCAGCGUUGAGCUUUCGCUGGAUUUGUCUAU
This is a long non-coding RNA of Culex pipiens pallens (northern house mosquito), 742 nucleotides long. RefSeq lists it as uncharacterized. The transcript has 2 exons. Lineage: Eukaryota; Metazoa; Arthropoda; Insecta; Diptera; Culicidae. The record is from RefSeq and is a predicted model, not a curated record.